GGGCACGCACCCGGCGUUGGCGCGCACUCGCCCCUCCCCUCGUCCCCACCCUCCUCCAGGAGAACAGAGAAAAGAAGAUGACCAUCUUCUCCUGAACAAAAUUAUGAACUAUCAAAGGUUUCAAAGGUAAUAAGUUUUAUGUCGCAAGAAGAAGAACCAGAAGUAAUGCUGAGCUAGAACUUAUUAGAGAUUUCCUUGAAAUCUGGACUUGGUGUUUAUAAGAUGGCUCUGUCCCAGGUUUAUGCAUGACAGCUGGUGAGCAGUUAGUUGCAUUCAGAGGACAUUGCUCAUUUUGGGCCUCUCUGCAUUCAAAACCAGGAAAAUAUGCUGUGAAAAUUUGAUAUUACUGAUGUCUCUAAUAAACUUUUAAAAAAUGA
Molecule: non-coding RNA, 377 nt
Organism: Macaca mulatta (Rhesus monkey)
Lineage: Eukaryota; Metazoa; Chordata; Mammalia; Primates; Cercopithecidae
Source: RefSeq, a predicted model, not a curated record